AGCCCAUAGCACAGGGCAAAGAGACACCUUGUUGGUGGUGAUGUUCUUAUUUCAAUCAGUGGCAGAGCAAAUGUUCUUUGUUCAUCCAAGCUUGAUGACUGGCUUGAUAGAUAAGCUGUCUUAUGCCUAGGAAUUAUAA
Rattus norvegicus (Norway rat) is the source of this 139-nucleotide small nucleolar RNA. Ensembl annotates it as small nucleolar RNA SNORA48. The record is from Ensembl. NCBI's taxonomy places the organism in Eukaryota, Metazoa, Chordata, Mammalia, Rodentia, Muridae.